GUGAAUUUUUAUUUGACAGAUUCCUUGUUAAGCGAUCGAAUUCAUUGGCACUGGACCGUUUAACGCGCAUAUUCGUUUCAUUGAAAAAAUGAUUGCUCGGAUUAUUUGCGUUUAGUCAGUAUUAGGUGCCACACACAAUCUAGCAACCGCCGGGCUCGUUCGCCAAAGUCGAUCGUAUGCUGGUUCAAAGUCUAAUUACGUAUCAGGAGGAUAUGGUGGCCGUCGCGGCUACAGCACGGGUAUUCGCGGAUACAACGGCCCAGUGUAUCAGGGAGUGGGCGGGAUCCCGGAAAACGGAGAUGUCAACAUCUUCGAUUACCUCGGCAUGACCAUUCUAAUACCUUUGUACGCUGCAAUGUUUGGAGAAAUGAAUGCGUUCAGUAAUGCGAGCGGAAUGGGAAAUCUAGCGAUUCCCAGUGUGCCACAACCACCUGCUGGUUACGGUGACCCUUACGGAGGUUACGGCGGCGGUUACGGAUAUGGUGGCACAGGACGCUUACCAGUUAACACCAGUAUUCGGCGGUGUUGGCGGAUUGUAGUUCCCGAAAGUGUUCGUGUAAGUAUACGAGCACAGAUAUUAGUUUAGAUAUUUGAAGUACUGCACUAUGCACCCACACUACCGACUGUCUCGGAUGUUAA
Paramacrobiotus metropolitanus is the source of this 639-nucleotide long non-coding RNA. RefSeq lists it as uncharacterized. The record is from RefSeq and is a predicted model, not a curated record. NCBI's taxonomy places the organism in Eukaryota, Metazoa, Tardigrada, Eutardigrada, Parachela, Macrobiotidae. The transcript is spliced from 3 exons.